This is a long non-coding RNA of Phyllostomus hastatus (greater spear-nosed bat), 338 nucleotides long. RefSeq lists it as uncharacterized. The record is from RefSeq and is a predicted model, not a curated record. The transcript is spliced from 4 exons. Lineage: Eukaryota; Metazoa; Chordata; Mammalia; Chiroptera; Phyllostomidae.
CGGGGCUGCAGUUUGGAGGAGAAAAGCAGGAGAGCUAGAAGAAGGAAUGCAGGGGGAAACCUGGUGUGCUUCUUGGGCAGCACACGGGUCCGGUGGGGAGGAGAGCCGACACGAACGGGACAAGCCCACUCGAUCUUCCACACAACACGUCACCCAGAGCAGAGACUGCCUAUCUCAAGUGUGUUUAUUUCUUUUUGGCUGAACAUGCCACGAGCUCAUGGGAAAUCACCAGGGGAAGGUGACCUUCACAGCAGUUGUCCUCCUGUCCCAUGAACCAACAGCCACUUCCUGAGAGAGACUCGUCACAGUUACUGUGUUACUCAGGGACUCCUCCAGAA